This is a long non-coding RNA of Mus musculus (house mouse), 2068 nucleotides long. RefSeq annotates it as predicted gene, 54212. The transcript has 3 exons. Lineage: Eukaryota; Metazoa; Chordata; Mammalia; Rodentia; Muridae. The record is from RefSeq and is a predicted model, not a curated record.
UUCUUUGUAUGUUCUCUUUGUUUCUAUGUGGUUCACCGAGUUUGACUAUUUCCUGCUGCCUACUCAAAAAACAGCAGGCUUAGGGCAGAUUGAGCCAGAGUAGAGCAGAGGGAGAGGAAACCAGAGAUAAAACAGGCUAGCCUGCGCAGGAGCUUCCUGCUGGUUCUCCUGUGUCCUCCGCACAUCUUGCCAUCGGACCGCUGUGAUCAAGUGUGUGUCACUGCUUCUGGGUUUUGGACAUGUGUUCUAGGGAUGGAACUUAUCUCAUCAGGCUUGUACUGCAGGAACCAGCUCAACUUCUCCAUGUUCAAUGAGUUAUGAAAAUGUUGUCUUCAGCAAUAGGAGCAUUGGGAAGAGCUUGGGUUGUUUGGGGGUUUCCAUGGAGCCCCCUUAAUCAACAACUCGAUUAGACACAACCCAUGCCCAGCAGUGGGUUUUACUGAAGAGGGACCUAGUUGGAGCUUUGUCUCCCCUGUUAUUUGGUGACUUCAUUUAGGUUUUCAUCACAUAUGUAUAUAUUUUAGGAAGGUUCUAGUGUGAUAGGUUUCCAUACAACCCCUCAAAGGGCCUUUAGUUCUUGCUGUUCCUUACCCUCCUCAUCCCUCCCCAUACCUGUGUAAUCCUCUCAUCCCAGCACUCCCCCAUCCAUCCAUCCAUCCAUCCAUCCAUCCAGUCCUUUACUCACUACUAAUGUCUGUAGCUAUAGGAAUUGUAGCUUGCUUAGCAAUAACUUAUCAGCUAAUAUCCACAUGUAGGCAAAUACAUACCAUAUUUGCCUUAGGGGAUCUGGAUUACCCCACUCAGGAUAAUCUUUUUCUUGUUCCAUCCAUUUACCUGCAAAUUUCAUGAUUUCUCUUUUUAACAUCAGAAUAAUAUUCCAUUGCAUAAAUGCACUACAUUUUCUUUACUCACUCACCCACUGACAAACAUCUAGGUUAUUCCAAUUUCUGGCUAUCAAAGAUAGAGCAGCAGUGAACAUGGUUGAGGAAGCGUCUCAGUAGUGGGCUGUAGAGGCCUUUGGAUCUAUGCCUGACAGUAGUCGAGCUGGCUCUUGAGGUAGAUUGAUCCCCAUCUUUCUGAGGAACCACCACAUUGAUGUCCAAAGUUGCUGUGUGAGCUUGCACUCCCACCAGUGCAAGUGCGGUGGAGAAGUGUCCCCUUUACCCCACAUCCUCGCCAGCAUGGGCUGUCAUUUGAUUGACCUUGGCUAUUCUGACAGGUAUUAGAUGAACGCUCACAGUACUUUUGAUUUGCACCUUCCUGAUCACUAAGGCUGUUGAACAUUUUUUAAAGGGCUUCGCAGCCAUUCCAAGACCCCUCUUGCGGAGACUCUGCUUUCAUCGGUACCCUAUUUUUUAACUGUGUGAUUUGUUUUCGGGGAUCUCCAGUUUCCUUAGUCCUUUUCGUAGUUUAGAAUUAGCCCUCUAUCACAUAUGCAGUUGAUAAUCUUUUCUUGUUCUAUACCUUCCACUUUUCCCAGAUGAUGGUGCCCUUUGUCCUACGGAAGCUGUCAGAGCCAAGUUAUAUCUUAUGUUUUCAUUACUGUGCCUAAGAGAUUCAUGAAACCAAAUGCCUCUAACCUAUAGGCCCCUUGCCCAAGGACAGAUACUUCCUGAAAUGCUGGGGGUUAUUUUUUAUGAGUGAGAACAAGCCACAAGUUGUCACUCCCCUAAACAAGUUUGUUUGACCCAGCGACACCGGAUGUGCUUGAUCGCACAUAUUCAGGAAGGACAUAGGCAGAGGAUAUAUCAGGGUGUAUGCUUGCUCCUGUUGGGGAAUUUAGUGGCCUAGUGGAUUUAUAAGCCUCAGCAAAAUGUGACUCAGCACCAUUUUCUGGGAACGUGGGAAUGAACCUUGCCAGUAUUUCAUUAAAGCUUACUUCAAAUUUUGGCUCAAAAUUGUGGUAAUGGUCUUAUUCUUGCCCAGUAGGAUUAACAAAGCUUUUCAGUUUCAUGAGAUUCUAUUUGUUAAUUGUUCUUAUUGUCUGUGCUAUUAGUGUUCAGUUCAGAAAGUCUUUUCCUGUGCUGAUAAGUUCAAGACUAUUUCCCACUUUCUCUUCUAUCAGAUU